AUCUUAUUUCUCGUUUCUGUGAAGAACCUUCUUGAAGGAAUCUUGAAUCUUCUGAAGAACCGCUUGGGCUACAGAGAGGCAAAAAUUGAUCUUCAAUUUAUGUUUGGGCGGGUGCCCCUUAAGCGCCUUUCUGAAGGAACCACUGGCAAUAUCCUGAUAAGGGUUUCAGCUGCCGACAGAGGAAUCUUCAAUUUACAUCUGGUGUGGAUUUGGGCUCCCGGAAAUAACAGGUUUUUAUCAGAAUAAAUUCUUAAUCGUU
Dendroctonus ponderosae (mountain pine beetle) is the source of this 259-nucleotide long non-coding RNA. RefSeq lists it as uncharacterized. NCBI's taxonomy places the organism in Eukaryota, Metazoa, Arthropoda, Insecta, Coleoptera, Curculionidae. The transcript is spliced from 2 exons. The record is from RefSeq and is a predicted model, not a curated record.